RNAcentral lists this transfer RNA (53 nucleotides) under Sinentomon erythranum. Its description in RNAcentral is "tRNA-Val". The record is from RNAcentral. Lineage: Eukaryota; Metazoa; Arthropoda; Protura; Sinentomata; Sinentomidae.
CAGAAUUUAUUCUUAUUAAGAUUUUUUAUUUACAAUGAAAAGAUUUUUUCUGA